AACGCACGAGACCUGCGGACCUGCGGAGGGAUCAUUACCGAGUUAUCCAGCUCCCAACCCCUGUGAAUUAUACCUUUAAUUGUUGCUUCGGCGGGACUUCGCGCCCGCCGGGGACCCAAACCUUCUGAAUUUUUUAAUAAGUAUCUUCUGAGUGGUUAAAAAAAUGAAUCAAAACUUUUAACAAUGGAUCUCU
Molecule: unclassified non-coding RNA, 193 nt
Filed under: soil metagenome
Description: partial contains 5.8S ribosomal RNA, internal transcribed spacer 2, and large subunit ribosomal RNA
Source: RNAcentral